CGGGCGGAGGAGGAGCGGAGCGGGGCCGGAGAGCCCGACGCGGCCGGGCCAUUGUCUGGGCGGCCACACAAAGCGGCCGGCCGCGCUGCGCGCCCACCCCGGCCCGGCCCCGCGCAACGCCCUCCUCGGCCUGCCCGGGGGGGGGGGGGGGGGGGGGGGGGGAAACUGAGGCCCGGAGUGGCCGUGAGCCCUGACGCGGGAGCACGGCUCGGCUCCUCCGUCGGGGGAGUUUUGUUUUCUGAAUCCCCCCCAGAGCGCCCCCCUCUUUCACACCUAGGGGAAAGCAGAGGCUGGAGGGCACCCCACUCCCUCCCCGCGGGCGGACCCCCGGGCCAGCGGGAAGGGCUGGGGGCUCAUGCUUCCGCUGCACGUGGGACCUGACUUCGGGGACCCUCUUUAAGGCCUGCGCACGAAGAUUCCCGUUUACCCACCACUGAAGCUGAGGGACGUUGGCUCCAGGUCCUGCAGCAGUGCAGCACCAAGGUCACCAGACUCACAGCAGAGGUUGAUGGUCAGACACCCCCAGGGAAGCCUCCAGACGACCACCCACCUUGAACUCCUGCGUUCCGGGAACUUUACCUCCCUGCUUCUCCCAGUGUGCAGGGAAAUCGAUGCCAGUGCAUCACAGGAGCUGAGAAGGGUAAGACCACGGAUCCUAGCCUGGGGUGCCGAUCCCAACCUCUGCCCGGCUCUGAAGAUGGCAGGCCCCGCCCUGGCUCCUCUCCACCAGGCCCUUCUCCAGACGCCACCCCUCAAGCAAGAAGAUAAUGUGUUUUAUCGGGGGCAUUUAUUACCCACAAUUGCUACAUAAAUCUCCCUGCAUACACAUACAUAUACAUAAGAGGCGGAUAAAUAUGCGGGGCCGUGCCCACUCUCCCUGAUGGAGUCGACUUGCCCCGUAAAGAUAACGGGAAAUGAUUCAUAAUAUUUAUUUGACAGACAUGAUAUGAACCGUAAUAGCCUGUUGGGAUUAAAAAUAUCCGUACGUCUCUGUCACCCACCAAUGUGGUUUAAAUAUUAUAUAUGUGGCCACUGCAGCAAUAGGGAGAUGGGAACUGUUAUUGAUAGCGGCCAUAAAGAGAAGCCGUUUUGCAUUGAAGAAUGGG
This 1106-nucleotide long non-coding RNA is filed under the name Equus caballus (horse). RNAcentral describes it as "lncRNA (ENSECAG00000032109.3)". Lineage: Eukaryota; Metazoa; Chordata; Mammalia; Perissodactyla; Equidae. The record is from RNAcentral.